UUCGCAAUGCCCGAAAGGGUGAACGAGCGACGCCGCGUGCGGGAUGAAGGGUUUCGGCUUGUAAACCGCUUUUCUUUGGGAAGAAGGUCUGUCUCGUGAAGAUGGGCUCGACGGUACCAGAGGAAUAAGCCUCGGCUAACUCCGUGCCAGCAGCCGCGGUAAGACGGAGGAGGCGAGCGUUAUUCGGAAUCACUGGGCUUAAAGCGCGUGUAGGCGGAUGGGAACGUCGGUCUUUGAAAGCCCCCGGCUCAACCGGGGAAGCGGAGCCGAAACGACCGAUCUGGAGGGACGUAGGGGGACCUGGAACUUCCGGUGGAGCGGUGAAAUGCGUAGAUAUCUGGAAGAACACCGGUAGCGAAGGCGGUGGUCUGGGCCGAAACUGACGCUGAGGCGCGAAAGCCAGGGGAGCAAACGGGAUUAGAUACCCUAGUAGUCCACGCUGUAAACUAUGGGCACUAAGUAGAGGGGUUUU
Molecule: ribosomal RNA, 472 nt
Filed under: uncultured bacterium
Lineage: Bacteria
Description: bacterial SSU rRNA
Rfam family: Bacterial small subunit ribosomal RNA
Source: RNAcentral